RNAcentral lists this ribosomal RNA (421 nucleotides) under uncultured bacterium. Its description in RNAcentral is "partial 16S ribosomal RNA". It matches the Rfam family "Bacterial small subunit ribosomal RNA", at positions 361 to 774 of the family's 1533-position model. The record is from RNAcentral.
AUAUUGGACAAUGGGGGCAACGCUGAUCCAGCCAUGCCGCGUGUGUGAAGAAGGUCUUCGGAUUGUAAAGCACUUUACGUUGGGAGGAAGGGCUUUAGGUUAAUACCCUGAAGUUUUGACGUUACCAUCAGAGUAAGCACCGGCGAACUCUGUGCCAGCAGCCGCGGUAAUACAGAGGUUGCAAGCGUUAAUCGGAAUUACUGGGCGUAAAGCGCGCGUAGGUGGUUCAGUAAGAUGGGUGUGAAAUCCCCGUGCUUAACCUGGGAACUGCUUUCAUAACUGCUGAGCUAGAGUACGGUAGAGGGUAGUGGAAUUUCCUGUGUAGCGGUGAAAUGCUUAGAUAUAGGAAGGAACACCAGUGGCGAAGGCGACUACCUGGACUGAUACUGACACUGAGGUGCGAAAGCGUGGGGAGCAAACA